Molecule: ribosomal RNA, 458 nt
Filed under: uncultured bacterium
Lineage: Bacteria
Description: bacterial SSU rRNA
Rfam family: Bacterial small subunit ribosomal RNA
Source: RNAcentral
UACGGGAGGCAGCAGUGGGGAAUAUUGCACAAUGGGCGAAAGCCUGAUGCAGCUAUGCCGCGUGUAUGAAGAAGGCCUUAGGGUUGUAAAGUACUUUCAUCGGGGAGGAAAAAACAAAACUAAUAAUUUUAUUUCUUGACGUUACCCGAAAAAGAAGCACCGGCUAACUCCGUGCCAGCAGCCGCGGUAAUACGGAGGGUGCUAGCGUUAAUCAGAAUUACUGGGCGUAAAGAGCACGUAGGUGGUUUUUUUAAGUCAGAUGUGAAAUCCCUGGGCUUAACCUAGGAACUGCAUUUUGAAACUGAAAUACUAGAGUAUCGUAGAGGGAGGUAGAAUUCUAGGUGUAGCGGUGAAAUGCGUAGAUAUCUGGAGGAAUACCUGUGGCGAAAGCGGCCUCCUAAACGAAUACUGACACUGAGGUGCGAAAGCGUUGGGGAGCAAACAGGGAUUAGGAUACC